Molecule: unclassified non-coding RNA, 3068 nt
Filed under: Sitophilus oryzae (rice weevil)
Lineage: Eukaryota; Metazoa; Arthropoda; Insecta; Coleoptera; Curculionidae
Description: guanine nucleotide-releasing factor 2, transcript variant X5
Source: RNAcentral
AAAAACAGUGAUAAAAUUGUGAGCAAUAGUGGUAACAUGUUUUGCGACGAUUAUGUGUGUGAACCCAGCUAUAGGAGACGAAAAUAUCAAAUAUAUCAAAAAGAGAGAUUAAAGAAACACUUGACCGUGUUGUUGUCCAUUUCUCCAUUGGUAGAGUUAGAAGAGACUGACGGGUCCCAAACGAACCUCACAUCGUCCCCUUUGGCAGGCAGUGGCCCAGGGGGGCACAAACCUUCUUUCAAAGGGACAAAACUAGCACGAAGAGCACGGUCAUUUAAGGACGAUUUUUUAGGUAAAAUAUCACAAAUGAGGAGUCCGGGAUCAUCAGGCACACUGGCCUCGAGGGCUCACAGCCCUAAAGGGGGCUUCAAAGGUUCUCCGGUUAUUAUGGACAGCAGGCAACAGGAAGUUAAAGGACCGGCACAAGAGUUGGAAGAUUAUUGGAAACAAACGCAGAUUGCACUGACUCACUUAAGGGAUGUGGUGUCAAAAGAUAAGCUAGAAAUGUUACCAGGGAAUGGAACGAUCGUUUUAGACACGAUAUGGUCCAUAAACUUGUCAAUAAAAUCUUCAGUUAAUAAUGACCACAGUAGUAGCGUCGUUUCUGCAAUGCACAGAGUUUACCAAACAGUUGCCAGGUUAAUAAAGCUUUGCGAUGAUGCCCUGGUUGAUGCUCAAAGUUCCGAAUUGAAACUUGAAAAUGUAAACGAAAUAGUAGCUCAAGUGGAAGAUGCAGUGAGGACCCUAAUUCAGUUGGCACAAGAGAAAAUAUCGCAACAACAACAAUUAACAUCUUAUAAAACCACUCCCCGUACAUCCUUUAGUAAUUGUAGCUUAGAAGUUCAGUCACAACGAAAUUCAUUACCAGAUAUACCGUUAACGCCAAGGGAAAGGGAAAUUUUGGAACAGACGUCGUGUAAUUUGCCGAUACGGAGCAGCCACAGCACAGAAAGUAUUUUAAUGGAUCCAAAUCCACCUCCUAAACCACCGUUACCUGAUAGUUUAAGAACAGGCACCUAUAGUGUUACACCCCCACCCAUUCCUCCUAAGAAAAAGAACCAAAGAUUACAUCAUGUAGUUGAUGAUGGUCACAGCACUGAUAGUUCCCCUAUAGGGAGUAGUUUAGAAAGAGUAUUUAUGGUAUCAAAGUCUCCAGAAGAUUCAGUAUCGUUAUUUUCGGAAGGCAGCAUAGACUCUAUGUUAAACCAAUCUUCUAAAGAAGAAGACGAAAUUAAGGCUCUUAUGGAGUGUGACCAAGACAUGUUAUUGGAAAACCACACUUCUGACAUAUUUGGUAUAGGUUCAAAUUCUUGGGAGGAAUCGUCACUCAGUUCAGGGAUAUCCAAUCACAAUCUAGAUCUUCAAACUACAGUGAACGAUUAUCACCGACUGUCGAAUACGGACUCUGGUAUAGUGUCGACAAGAUCAUCCAGCUAUUCUAAAAGAAGUUCCCAACAAAGUUCUGUAAGUACACAAUUCUGUCUGACAUCUCGCCAAUCGAAUGACCAUUUUCUGGAUAGCCCGUCGGUGGCUGUCAAAAGUUUCGCACAGAAAAGUUCCAGUAGUUCGAGUUCGACGAUGGUGAUAUCUAAUAGUUCGCAUUCGGUCGUAUCCAAACUGGGCUUGGACGGUGACGAAAUUCCCCCAGCUAUUCCCCAAAAGACUAAGAAGAAGACUGAACCAAGACAGCCUAGUCCCUAUGAUAACGUUUCUCAGUUGGACAAUUUUAUAGAUGACCUGAGCCAGGCUGAAGUAUUAGUGAGUUGUCAGAAGCACCAAAUGCACCAACACAGUCAAUUUAGCAGUAUGGUAUCAAACAACACAAGUACAAAUGUCGAUUUAAGCGAUGAAGUGGAUGGAAAGCCACCGCCUCUACCUCCAAAGAAAAAACACAUGUUCCAGUCUGUGGCUUACAGCGUUAUGGCGUAUAUGGAAAUGUUUGGAAAUUGUUCCCACAGUAACGACCAAGAAUACAUGAGACAGUCUAUGCAUUUGGCGCAGUCUCAUUGGUCGGGUUCUUCGGGAUUAUCCAGUACUCAAUCGUGUUCGUUUAGCCAUUCGUCGACUCACAGUUCCAGUCGAAGUUCACAGUCUCAAACACUGUGUUUACCACCACAUUCCGCCACUGAAAGAGGUCCGUCUCCUUUACAUUCCCCUAACCCAACAAUUUCUUCAUCGUCUAGUAACAGUUCAGUGGUUCCUCCUCUACCACCGAAGCAAAAAACGCGGAAAUCUUCCUCCAAGUCGCCUCCGCCUACUCCCACGUCGUUAACGCAUCUACAGGAACCUAAAAGUGCAAGUCUAACACCUUCGCCCAAUCAAAUUAAAAGUUUACCCGACCUAUUGGAACAUACGGCCAGUAUAGGAAAUGACGAAAAAUCGGAAGUUCCAGAGGUGAGUUUAGUUGAUGUUGACUUAAUGGAAGAACUGAACGUGGAUAAGUAUCUCAUUAAGAAAAAACCUGAAGAGGAUGGUCCAGAAAUAAGAGGUGGAAGCAUAGACGCUUUGAUUAUACAAGCCACUAAAGCCACUAAGAAUGGAGUAUUUGCAUAUCAAGAGGCUUUCUUAACAACUUAUCGGACAUUCAUAAGCCCCUUUGAGUUAAUAAAAAAGCUGAUCAGAAGAUACAACCAUUUCUACUAUCAGCAGGAUAAGAAACCAAGAUCGAGGGAGGCGUUUGCCCUUAUAGUUCGGGUUGUGAGCGAUUUAACAAAUUGUUGGACUUGGAUGAGCAUUUAAUUCAUAAACUAACAAGUUUUGUUCAGCAUUUAAUUUCUUGUGGAGAAUUAAUACUAGCCAAAGCCUUAAGGGUGAAAUUUUUGGAAAGACAUGCUACUAAGCAAGUAACAGUCGGGUACCCAAAUAUUAUCAGUAGUCUUUCAUUAAGUGCCAGAACUUCAACUUUGUUAGAUUUUAAAUCUGAACAUAUAGCAGAACAAAUGACACUGUUGGAUUCUAAAUUAUUUAUGAAAAUAGAAAUACCGGAAGUGCUAAUAUGGGCACAAGAACAAAACGAAGAGAGAAGUCCGAACUUGACUAGGUUUACUGAACAUUUCAACAAAAUGUCG